This 325-nucleotide ribosomal RNA is filed under the name Livilla horvathi. RNAcentral's name for it is "partial 12S ribosomal RNA". Lineage: Eukaryota; Metazoa; Arthropoda; Insecta; Hemiptera; Psyllidae. The record is from RNAcentral.
GAGUAGUAAGAGUUAAGAUCUUUAAACUCAAAAAAUUUGGCGGUACUUUAUCUUAUUAGAGGAACCUGCUUAUUAAUUGAUAUUCCACGACUUUACUUUACUUUUAUUAAGUUAUUUGUAUACCGUUGUCAUAAAUCUACUAAGAAGUAAUCUUUAAGAAUUUUUAAUAGAAUUCAUGUUAAAUCAAGGUGCAGUUUUUAAAAGGUUAAAGUGGGUUACAUUUUUUAUAAUGAAUGAAAAUUAUUGUUGAAAUAAUAGUAUAAAUAGGAUUUAAAAGUAAAGAAAAUGAUUAAAGAUUUUACAUGAAUAUAGAUUCUAAAGUAUG